GUUUUUGUAUUUUAUCUUUCCGCAGUACAAAAAAAAUAUUAUAUUGAUUAUAAAAAUCACAUUAAGAAAAAACAAAGUGCAUAUCUACAUGGCCCAAUGAAAAGAACUUCACUUUCACAUGCGUGGGCCAUAAGUAAAAAAUACAAAAGAAAUUAGAAAAAGAGAAAUAUCCCUCUACAGAAAAGAGAGAGCGCCAAAAAAAUCCAUGUCAGCAUAAUCUUUACUACUACAAAAGCAAUAUGGGCCACAGCUAUGGGCAAUUCGUGGGUCAUUGCCCUGCAACCUCUUCACCCAUCGAGCUCCAACUGCCUUCCGCUACCGUCCGAUUAUCGUAAUCUUCACCGUCGUCGUCCAGAUCAUCAUCACUAGAAUCUUCGUCGUCGUCCUUGUCGUCAUCUGCAGCUGCACCAUUAUCUUCGUCGGAAGACAGCGGCACAAGCCAACAUGUACCGUACAAGUGCCCAUUUAAACACACAAAAUACUCUAACCCGCCCUCGCUUGAUCCAAGCCGCCUAGCCGCGCUCUUCGGCACCAGCCGAGCUGAAGUCAUACUCCAUACGCGAAACCCACAAUAAGGGCACCGCAAUCUUUUCUCUAGCUCUACCUGCCGUCUGAUCAAGCAUUCCCUCGUUCUUGAUUUCAUAAAUCCCCGAAAUACCCCUCUGUAAAUACCCAAAUCAUCUUCAUUAUCUCCCGUUGGAUGCUCACACGGGUCGCU
This 718-nucleotide unclassified non-coding RNA is filed under the name Hevea brasiliensis (rubber tree). Lineage: Eukaryota; Viridiplantae; Streptophyta; Magnoliopsida; Malpighiales; Euphorbiaceae. The record is from RNAcentral.